RNAcentral lists this ribosomal RNA (420 nucleotides) under uncultured archaeon. Its description in RNAcentral is "partial 16S ribosomal RNA". It matches the Rfam family "Archaeal small subunit ribosomal RNA", at positions 323 to 746 of the family's 1478-position model. The record is from RNAcentral.
CUACGGGGCGCAGCAGUCGAGGAAAUUUUACAAUGCUCGAAAGAGUGAUAGAAUGAGUCAGAGUGUUUCUCUUAGAGAAACUUUUAUCUGUUGUAAAAAGACAGAUGAAUAAGGACUGGGAAAGACCGGUGCCAGCCGCCGCGGUAAUACCGGCGGUCCAAGUCGCAUCCACAUUUAUUGGGUCUAAAACAUUCGUAGCUUGUUUUGUAAGUCUCUUGUGAAAUCUUAUAUCUCAAAUAUGAAGCGUGCAAGAGAUACUACAUAACUAGAGACCGGAAGACGUAAGGAGUAUGAUUGAGGUAGCGGUAAAAUGUGUUAAUCUUAAUCAGACUAACAAUAGCGAAGGCACCUUACGAGUACGGAUCUGACAGUGAGGAAUGAAGGCCAGGGGCGCAAAAGGGAUUAGAUACCCUGGUAGUC